GGAUAUUUUUAUUUUCUAAAUAAUCACCGUUAGUUUAUUUAAGAAUACAUUCUGACCUUACUCUAGAACUACCUUCUGUAUCUUUGCCAUACCCUGUGCCUAAUACUCCGUUAACAGUGAGCGGAUGUGGGAGGUGGUCUUUUGCUGUGGGGUACUCUGGUGAAGGCAAGAGAGGGGCAAACGGUCUGCAGAGAAUUUAUGAACAGUAGUGAAACUUGACCAGAAUGCUUCUUCUUGUCAUCAUGUGCCGGCAUUUCUGAACCUAAGUGGAUAAAAUACUUCUGUGCAUUAGGAUGGUCUACUCUCCUUGACACUGGGUCCACUCUCUCUCCUACCAUAUACCACCCACUUUAAUACUGUUGCAUUAACUAAACACACAUGUAGCUAUUAUAUGUCAAUGUAUUUUAAAUAUAUUGUUUGAUUUGAUUUUCAUAUUCCUGUGAACUGGGUACUUUAAUGGGCAUUAUGGUUGAGGAAACAGAGGGUCAGAGAGGCAAAAAACUUUAAUGCCACACAACCAGUACUGACAGAGCUGGGGAGGGGUGUGUGUCUAAUAAUCUAGCCAAUGUAAUUUCUACUGCUUAUGCUUUAGUGAGCUUUUAGUGCAGGUACAUGCUUGUUAAAUCCUUUUGGCUAGUAGUCCCCAGACUCUUCAAUUCUAUAUACCAGUAAAAGUGUUCUGUUUUUUAAUUCAGCAGAGAAAAUGCAUAGAGAGGAGAAACGGUGAAGGCAUUAAAAUUUAGUUCUGCCAAAAUUUUAUUUUCCAAGUAAUAAAGUGUUUUUAAAACCUUCCGUUUAUAAUAACCAUUAUUUUAUGAAAAAUAUAAAAUUUAAUUAAAAAAGGAAAAACCACAUGUUAAGAGGAAUAAAUAGAGACAUUUAUAAAAAUGUACUGCACUGUCAUCAUUCAGUGUGGAUUAAAGUAGAAGUUAUUCAUAGGCCAGAAGUAGUUUGAGGACUGGCUUUGGGGAUCACUUUUUUUAAGCUCCAUUUUGUGCUUAUUCGUGUGUUUCCUAAACCCAGAAAAAAAGUUUAAAAAGUUGAUACUGUCCUGGGCAUGCAUAGUUUGUUUUUCAUCAGAAUAAGAGGAGUAUAGGAUUUUAAGCAGAGGAAAGGUAAUAUGUCAGUUAAAUAUUAAAAGGGUCUUUCUGCUGCUAUGUUAAGAACAGGGUAUAGAGGGAUAAGGGUUAUAUGCAGAGAGACCAGAUAAAAGGCCAUUACAGUAAUCCAAGUGAGAUAUGAAUGUGGGUUGGAUUAAGUGGUAGCAGUGGAAGAGGUGAAGAAAUCUUAAAUUCUGGAUAUAUCUGGAAGAUUGAAUACAGUGGAUUUAUUAGUGGACUAGAUGUGGGGAGAAAAACCAUGGAUGAUGCCAGAUUUUUGGUGUCAGCAACAGGAAGAAUGGCAUUGCCCUAAACAGAAAUAAGAAUGGUUAAUGAAUGGUGGAGCAAGUUCUUAGUGAAAAUUGAGGAAAUUCGUUUUGGAUAUAUGGAAUUUCAGAUGUCUAGUAGAUGUUAUAAAUGAGUCUGGAGUUUGAGAGGGAUCUGAACUGUAAGUAUUGUAUAAAGAUGUAUUUAAAUCAUGAGUCUGGGUGACAGUACUAAGAGAAUAAGUAUAGGUGGACAGAAGAAUACCAAAGACAUACUGGGGCAUUCCAACAUUAAGUAAGAAAGAAGAAUAGGCAGUAGAGACAGAACAGGAGUGAACAGUUAUGUCGGGGGGACAUCAGAAGAGAGUGGUUUACUGGAAACUGAAGAGAUGCAAGUCCAUCAAAGAGCAAGGAGUGAUAACCUGUGUCAAAUACUCCUGAUAGGUAAGUAAGAUGAGAGCCGACAGCUGACCUUCAGAAGUUAUUGAUUAUCUUUGGUGAGCAGUUUUGACAAGCCAAAAAACCAGUUGUGAUGGGUUUAGGACAGAAUGGAAGGAAAAGGAUCAGAGACAGUAACUGCAGACAAUUUUUUCAAGAAAUUUAACCACAAACAGAAGCAAGGAAAUGGGGUAGCAGCUAGCUGGUGGAGAAGUCGGGUUAAGAAAUAGCACAUUUGCUGAAGGAAAUUGAUGAUAACAGGUGACCGAUGGGAGAACUGCUAUAAUACCGUCUUUGAGCAGGAGGAAUGGGCGCUGGUGCACAAGUCGGUGGACUGGCCUUACAUGGUAACAUGGAGAGUUGAGCUAAGGGAAGGUGGAAAUAUGUGGGUGCAAAAUCCUGGGACAUGGGUAUGGAUGGUGGUAAGUCUGGAAGUUUUCUUCCAUUUUCAGUCAUCGACUGUAGAUGAUGAUGGGAGAGGAGAUACUGGAGGCUUAAAGCAGAAAGGUAUGAAAUAUUCUGGGAGAGUAAGUGGGCAGAUGGACCAGGGCAAUGAACUAUGAUUGCCUGGCAGCCUGAACCUCCCUUUAAGGUUUAUUCUUAUGAACCAGUCAACAUAAUGGUGUUUUUCUCAUUUAUUUAUUUUGAGAGAGAGAGUGCAAGUGGCUGAAGGGCCAAGAGAUGGGGAGAAUCUCAAGCAGGCUCUGCAUUGUCAGCACAGAGCUCCACAUGGGGCUCAAACUCAUGAAACCAUGACCUGAGCCAAAAUCAAGAGUCGGACUCUUAACCAACAGAACCACCCAGGCACCCCUGGAGUGGUGUUUAUCCUUACCAUCCUGUUUUUUUUUGUUGGUUUUUUUUUCUGUUUUUUGUUUUUAGUGUGAAGUAUAACACACAAGAAAUAGAACAUAAUUAGCACCUCAGAAACGACUGUGUACCCUUCUAGAUUAUAAUCCUUUCCUUCUCAUUGGAAGAUCAUCCAUUAUGAUAAUCAUUUCGUCGUCUUUGUAUUAAGUUUUACCACCUGUGUAUUCAUUCCAAAACAAUAUGAUUGAAUUUUUCCUGUUUUUGAAUUGCAUUUUUUUUAAGUUUUUAUUUUAAUCACUUGGUGCUCAUCACAACAAGUGCACUUCUUACUUCUUAAUCCCCAUCACCUCAUCCCCUCCUCUGGUAACCAUCAGUCUGUUCUCUAUGGUUAAGAGUCUGUUGCUUGGUUUGUCUUUCUGUCUCUCUCUCU
Long non-coding RNA from Acinonyx jubatus (cheetah), 3041 nucleotides. RefSeq lists it as uncharacterized. The transcript has 2 exons. Lineage: Eukaryota; Metazoa; Chordata; Mammalia; Carnivora; Felidae. The record is from RefSeq and is a predicted model, not a curated record.